GCCUCGAACAUUGGGGAGUAGUCGUCCCGCGGUCCUGCCGCGGGAACCUGUAUCAACAUGAUUGGCCCGCAGGCCAUGGUGCAGGUGGUUGCAGAACUUGACGAGACCAUUGAUCCAGGGCGGCCGCAUGGGCCGGAGUCGCCCGUGGAUCAUUGGUUAAUUCGUCCGGCCCGCGUACCUCU
Molecule: small RNA, 182 nt
Filed under: Janthinobacterium sp.
Lineage: Bacteria; Pseudomonadati; Pseudomonadota; Betaproteobacteria; Burkholderiales; Oxalobacteraceae
Description: Manganese sequence
Rfam family: Manganese Mn2+ riboswitch aptamer (yybP-ykoY)
About the family: This RNA was originally discovered in E. coli during a large scale screen and was named SraF.
Source: RNAcentral